RNAcentral lists this ribosomal RNA (474 nucleotides) under uncultured organism. RNAcentral describes it as "partial 16S ribosomal RNA". It matches the Rfam family "Bacterial small subunit ribosomal RNA", at positions 334 to 799 of the family's 1533-position model. The record is from RNAcentral.
CACUCCUGCGGGAGGCAGCAGUGGGGAAUAUUGCACAAUGGGCGCAAGCCUGAUGCAGCCAUGCCGCGUGUAUGAAGAAGGCCUUCGGGUUGUAAAGUACUUUCAGCGGGGAGGAAGGCAAUACGGUUAAUAACCGUGUUGAUUGACGUUACCCGCAGAAGAAGCACCGGCUAACUACGUGCCAGCAGCCGCGGUAAUACGGAGGGUGCAAGCGUUAAUCGGAAUUACUGGGCGUAAAGCGCACGCAGGCGGUCUGUCAAGUCGGAUGUGAAAUCCCCGGGCUCAACCUGGGAACGGCAUUCGAAACUGGCAGGCUUGAGUCUUGUAGAGGGGGGUAGAAUUCCAGGUGUAGCGGUGAAAUGCGUAGAGAUCUGGAGGAAUACCGGUGGCGAAGGCGGCCCCCUGGACAAAGACUGACGCUCAGGUGCGAAAGCGUGGGGAGCAAACAGGAUUAGAAACCCUAGUAGUCCCAUG